CCUACGGGAGGCAGCAGUGAGGAAUAUUGGUCAAUGGACGAGAGUCUGAACCAGCCAUGUCGCGUGCAGGAUGACUGCCCUAUGGGUUGUAAACUUCUUUUGUAUGGGAAUAAAAUGUUCCACGUGUAGGCUUUUGUAUGUACCAUAUGAAUAAUGAUCGGCUAACUCCGUGCCAGCAGCCGCGGUAAUACGGAGGAUCCGAGCGUUAGCCGGCUUUAUUGGGUUUAAAGGGAGCGUAGGUGGAUUGUUAAGUCAGUUGGGAAAGUUUGAGGCUCAACCGGAAAAUUGCAGUUGAUACUGGCAGUCUUGAGUACAGUAGAGGUGGGCGGAAGUCGUGGUGUAGCGGUGAAAUGCUUAGAUAUCACGAAGAACUCCGAUUGCGAAGGCAGCUCACUGGACUGCAACUGACACUGAGGCUCGAAAGUGUGGGUAUCGAACAGGAUUAGAUACCCUUGUAGUC
RNAcentral lists this ribosomal RNA (460 nucleotides) under uncultured bacterium. RNAcentral describes it as "partial 16S ribosomal RNA". It matches the Rfam family "Bacterial small subunit ribosomal RNA", at positions 338 to 795 of the family's 1533-position model. The record is from RNAcentral.